Molecule: ribosomal RNA, 386 nt
Filed under: Oryzias latipes (Japanese medaka)
Lineage: Eukaryota; Metazoa; Chordata; Actinopteri; Beloniformes; Adrianichthyidae
Description: partial 12S ribosomal RNA
Rfam family: Bacterial small subunit ribosomal RNA
Source: RNAcentral
GCAUAGCUGUAAACUUUAAUGAACUAUUACAUUAUCAUUCGCCAGGGUACUACGAGCACCAGCUUAAAACCCAAAGGACUUGGCGGUGCUUUAGACCCACCUAGAGGAGCCUGUUCUAGAACCGAUAACCCCCGUUAAACCUCACCCUCUCUUGUUCUUUCCGCCUAUAUACCGCCGUCGUCAGCUUACCCUGUGAAGGGCAAAUAGUAAGCAAAACCAGUAACACUUAAAACGUCAGGUCGAGGUGUAGCAUAUGAGAGGGGAAGAAAUGGGCUACAUUCCUUGCCCCAAGGAAAACGGAUAGUAUAAUGAAAGGUAUACUAGAAGGAGGAUUUAGCAGUAAGCAAAAAAUAGAGAGUUCUGCUGAAACUGGCCCUGAAGCGCGC